This 352-nucleotide ribosomal RNA is filed under the name uncultured Racocetra. Its description in RNAcentral is "SSU rRNA". It matches the Rfam family "Eukaryotic small subunit ribosomal RNA", at positions 569 to 929 of the family's 1831-position model. Lineage: Eukaryota; Fungi; Glomeromycota; Glomeromycetes; Diversisporales; Gigasporaceae. The record is from RNAcentral.
AGCAGCCGCGGUAAUUCCAGCUCCAAUAGCGUAUAUUAAAGUUGUUGCAGUUAAAAAGCUCGUAGUUGAAUUUCGGGGUUCUACCGUUGGUCGGGCUUUGUCUGUACUGGCGUGUAGAAUUUCUACCUUCUGGGGAACCAUCAUGUUAUUAAUUUAGCGUGGCGGGAAACCAGGACCUUUACCUUGAAAAAAUUAGAGUGUUUAAAGCAGGCUUACGUUUGAAUACAUUAGCAUGGAAUAAUAAAAUAGGACGGUGGUCCUGUUUUGUUGGUUUCUGAGUCACCGUAAUGAUUAAUAGGGAUAGUUGGGGGCAUUAGUAUUCAAUUGUCAGAGGUGAAAUUCUUGGAUUUAG